RNAcentral lists this ribosomal RNA (434 nucleotides) under uncultured Lachnospiraceae bacterium. Its description in RNAcentral is "partial 16S ribosomal RNA". It matches the Rfam family "Bacterial small subunit ribosomal RNA", at positions 341 to 792 of the family's 1533-position model. Lineage: Bacteria; Bacillati; Bacillota; Clostridia; Lachnospirales; Lachnospiraceae. The record is from RNAcentral.
ACGGGAGGCAGCAGUGGGGAAUAUUGCACAAUGGGGGAAACCCUGAUGCAGCGACGCCGCGUGAGUGAAGAAGUAUUUCGGUAUGUAAAGCUCUAUCAGCAGGGAAGAAAAUGACGGUACCUGACUAAGAAGCCCCGGCUAACUACGUGCCAGCAGCCGCGGUAAUACGUAGGGGGCAAGCGUUAUCCGGAUUUACUGGGUGUAAAGGGAGCGUAGACGGCGAGGCAAGUCUGAUGUGAAAGACCGGAGCUCAACUCCGGGGCUGCAUUGGAAACUGUUUUGCUAGAGUGCAGGAGAGGUAAGUGGAAUUCCUAGUGUAGCGGUGAAAUGCUUAGAUAUUAGGAGGAACACCAGUGGCGAAGGCGGCUUACUGGACUGUAACUGACGUUGAGGCUCGAAAGCGUGGGGAGCAAACAGGAUUAGAUACCCUGGUA